RNAcentral lists this ribosomal RNA (429 nucleotides) under uncultured bacterium. Its description in RNAcentral is "bacterial SSU rRNA". It matches the Rfam family "Bacterial small subunit ribosomal RNA", at positions 355 to 776 of the family's 1533-position model. The record is from RNAcentral.
UCGAGAAUCAUUCACAAUGGGGGAAACCCUGAUGAUGCGACGCCGUGUGAGCGAUGAAGGCCUUCGGGUCGUAAAGCUCUUUCGUGAGGGAACAAGAGAAUCCGGUGAAUAACCGGGUUCUUUGAGAGUACUUUAUAAAGAAGCACCGGCUAACUCCGUGCCAGCAGCUGCGGUAAUACGGAGGGUGCAAGCAUUAAUCGGAAUUAUUGGGCGUAAAGGGCGCGUAGGCGGAUAGGAUAGUCAGAUGUGAAAUUUCGGAGCUCAACUUCGAAGCUGCAUUUGAAACUACUUAUCUGGAGGGUAGGCGGAGAAAACGGAAUUCCACAUGUAGCGGUGAAAUGCGUAGAGAUGUGGAAGAACACCUGUGGCGAAAGCGGUUUUCUAGCUUAUUCCUGACGCUGAGGCGCGAAAGCAAGGGGAGCAAACAGG